CGGAAGUAUAUUGGAGGAUGACGUGGUCAAAUUUGAGGUUAAUUGGAGGAAGUUUGGUACAUGGAAUGACGAGAUAACUGUGUGUUUAGGGGUUAAAACAAGGCUUAGGAGCUUAACUGCGAGGAACCAGGGACCUAUUUGCGAAUAUUUCUGGGAGGUGGAAGGGCAUAUAUGUGAGACAAUCUUUGAGAGAGGUGGGAGGGCUGGUUGGUAAAUAGGGGAAACGUGAGGGUUAGAUUGAAAAGGGGGGCUUUCUUCCUCCUCCUUUGAACCGUGACUCAGAGAGAAGAGAGGAGGGGAAACCGGUGGGGGCCGGCCGGCCUAGGCUCGUCGGCAGCGAGGUUUGGCGGUGGGGAAGGUAGAGGAGGCUGUGCGGACUCCAUUUUGGCCCUCACCUUGGCGAAUCGACGACGGGAAGUGAGGGGGUUGGUGGUGGACAGGGGGCGGCUCGGGCGGAGCUCCGGCGAGGGCAGCGCAUGGGGUGGCACUUGGGCGCAGGGGGCGACGGUGCUGGUGGUGUCGGAGGAGAGGGUGAGGUGAUGCUAAGGCUCCAGGCGUCAAAGCCCCUUUUAUAGGCGAGGAACAGAGGAAGCG
This 594-nucleotide long non-coding RNA is filed under the name Setaria viridis. Its description in RNAcentral is "long non-coding RNA (SVIR_LNC002892)". The record is from RNAcentral. Lineage: Eukaryota; Viridiplantae; Streptophyta; Magnoliopsida; Poales; Poaceae.